UCCGGUUUGGCACCGGCGGUCUCCGAUGAGUCCCCGGCAUUACCCGCUGGCAACAUCGGACAGGGGUUGCGCUCGUUGCGCCACUUAAGGCAACACCUCACGGCACGAGCUGACGACAGCCAUGCAGCACCUGUGCGGGCUCCCGAAGGAGGACCGGCUUUCACCGGCUUCACCCCGCAUGUCAAGCCCUGGUAAGGUGGGGAUGACGUUAGGAUAG
This 217-nucleotide unclassified non-coding RNA is filed under the name uncultured Actinomycetes bacterium. RNAcentral's name for it is "uncultured actinobacterium contains 16S-23S intergenic spacer region". The record is from RNAcentral. Lineage: Bacteria; Bacillati; Actinomycetota; Actinomycetes.